RNAcentral lists this ribosomal RNA (895 nucleotides) under uncultured Gammaproteobacteria bacterium. Its description in RNAcentral is "bacterial SSU rRNA". It matches the Rfam family "Bacterial small subunit ribosomal RNA", at positions 28 to 916 of the family's 1533-position model. The record is from RNAcentral. Lineage: Bacteria; Pseudomonadati; Pseudomonadota; Gammaproteobacteria.
AUUGAACGCUGGUGGUAUGCUUAACACAUGCAAGUCGAACGGUAACAUUGGAGCUUGCUCCAGAUGACGAGUGGCGGACGGGUGAGUAACGCGUAGGAAUCUGCCUAGUAGUGGGGGACAACAUGUGGAAACGCAUGCUAAUACCGCAUACGCCCUACGGGGGAAAGCGGGGGAUCUUCGGACCUCGCGCUAUUAGAUGAGCCUGCGUUAGAUUAGCUUGUUGGUGGGGUAAUGGCCUACCAAGGCGACGAUCUAUAGCUGGUCUGAGAGGACGAUCAGCCACACUGGGACUGAGACACGGCCCAGACUCCUACGGGAGGCAGCAGUGGGGAAUAUUGGACAAUGGGCGCAAGCCUGAUCCAGCAAUACCACGUGUGUGAAGAAGGCCUGAGGGUUGUAAAGCACUUUCAAUUGGGAGGAAAACAGCUGGGUUAAUAGCCCUGCUCUUGACAUUACCUUUAGAAGAAGCACCGGCUAACUCCGUGCCAGCAGCCGCGGUAAUACGGAGGGUGCGAGCGUUAAUCGGAAUUACUGGGCGUAAAGCGUACGUAGGCGGUUAUUUAAGUCAGAUGUGAAAGCCCCGGGCUCAACCUGGGAACUGCAUUUGAAACUGGAUAACUAGAGUUUGAUAGAGGAGAGUAGAAUUUCUGGUGUAGCGGUGAAAUGCGUAGAGAUCAGAAGGAAUACCAGUGGCGAAGGCGGCUCUCUGGAUCAAAACUGACGCUGAGGUACGAAAGCGUGGGUAGCAAACAGGAUUAGAUACCCUGGUAGUCCACGCCGUAAACGAUGUCAACUAGCCGUUGGGUCCAAUUAAGGACUUAGUGGUGCAGCUAACGCAUUAAGUUGACCGCCUGGGGAGUACGGCCGCAAGGCUAAAACUCAAAUGAAUUGACGG